Molecule: long non-coding RNA, 287 nt
Filed under: Mytilus galloprovincialis (Mediterranean mussel)
Lineage: Eukaryota; Metazoa; Mollusca; Bivalvia; Mytilida; Mytilidae
Source: RNAcentral
GGGCGGUCGGGCGGGCGGGCGGGCGGCAAUCAAAUGUUGUCCGUGCAUUAACUCAUGAACCGUUCAACCAAAGCUUUUAAAAUUUUAAUAUGUUAUUACUGACAACUAUACGAAGGUCAAGUUCAAUAAUGGCGAUUUUGACUUUUACCGUUCAGGAGUUAUGGUUCUUGAAAGGCGGCAAUCAAAUGUUGUCCGUGCAUUAACUCAUGAACCGUUCAACCAAAGCUUUUAAAAUUUUAAUAUGUUAUUACUGACAACUAUAUGGAGGUCAAGUUCAAUAAUGACGA